Molecule: long non-coding RNA, 468 nt
Organism: Passer domesticus (house sparrow)
Lineage: Eukaryota; Metazoa; Chordata; Aves; Passeriformes; Passeridae
Exons: 3
Source: RefSeq, a predicted model, not a curated record
UCCUCUGUUCUUGAAGCCAGUAAUCUCCAUCCCACACCUGUGACCUAAGCUGGUGCUUCUCUUUCUUCCUGAGCUGAUGACUCUGGUGUGUGCUUAAUAAUUCAGCGGGGCCCCAGCUCAUCUUUCCACAGAACCAGUGUCUCCAUGGGAGCAGGAAAACCAACAAGCCUGCAUCAUUGCAUAGAGUUCUAGUGAGCACGGGGAGAAUGCAUCAUCUCUCACCCUCCACUUCUGGAGAUGUAGGGAAGCAGAAAGGAAUAUCCAGCUCAUAUGAUCCCCAGCUUCACCUGAGAAGUACUACCACCUUCCCAUCAGCACAGGCUGAGAAGCCUCUACAUUCUUCAGCCAGGUAGAACAGAGAGGUCUCAGCAAUAAAGAGGUCAAGUGAGCUGGCCUGCCCACCUGCCCUUCCUCUGGCCUCCGUUACUGGCAGCCAAGUGAAGCAUAAAGGCUAAUGUCUCAUCAGCA